Molecule: non-coding RNA, 249 nt
Organism: Podarcis lilfordi (Lilford's wall lizard)
Lineage: Eukaryota; Metazoa; Chordata; Lepidosauria; Squamata; Lacertidae
Source: the annotation of a GenBank genome assembly
CCCAGAAUGCUUUGAUCUGCUUGAUUACCCGCCUCUGUUCAUUCUUCUUCUUCUUCUUCUUCAGCACACAUCAUGUGGCCUCCUCAGGCCCAGCAUUUGAUGAUUGCUUCAAAAUCAAUAGAUGUUCCAGGGGAAAACAAACUCUUCCAUACUGUGAUGAGAGCUGACACAGGUUCAACUAUUGUUUCUCUUGAAGAUCUUCUUCCAAGGGUCUUGCCUUGUGAUUCUGGUUGGAACAUUUUGUCCGUG